Centruroides sculpturatus (bark scorpion) is the source of this 363-nucleotide long non-coding RNA. RefSeq lists it as uncharacterized. NCBI's taxonomy places the organism in Eukaryota, Metazoa, Arthropoda, Arachnida, Scorpiones, Buthidae. The record is from RefSeq and is a predicted model, not a curated record. The transcript has 3 exons.
AAUUUGAAAAUUUUAAGGAAAGAACAAUUAACAGUCUGUUUUUGAUACAAAAUGAAGGAAAUAUGAAGAAAAGUCACCACUUGUUUACCAUCAUUUUCAACACACCUUUUUUCUUUUCUCCAAAGUCAAUCUUGCUGCCAUUUCAGACAACUACGUAAAGAAACAUAUUUGUCCAUAGUGUUAAAUGUUUUUCAAGUAUCCUAUACAUUUUGUUUAAGAUUUGGAUUUGAACCUUGACAGUUUUUUGAAAGUAAAUAGACUUUAGGAAUGCAUUCUUCAAAAUACAAGCUUCUAUAUACUGUAAUUGAAAAUUUUAAAAUGUAGAUACGUAAAUUCUUGAAACAAAAAAAUAUAUAUAAUAAG